AGUAACAUCCGGAAACGGGUGCUAAUACCGCAUAGGUUUCUUGAUCGCAUGAUUGAGAAAGGAAAGACGGCCUUUGUGCUGUCGCUUAUGGAUGGACCCGCGGCGUAUUAGUUAGUUGGUGAGGUAACGGCUCACCAAGACGAUGAUACGUAGCCGACCUGAGAGGGUGAUCGGCCACAUUGGGACUGAGACACGGCCCAAACUCCUACGGGAGGCAGCAGUAGGGAAUCUUCCGCAAUGGACGAAAGUCUGACGGAGCAACGCCGCGUGAGUGAAGAAAGGUUUUCGGAUCGUAAAACUCUGUUGUCAGAGAAGAACAAGUUGGAGAGUAACUGCUCCAGCCUUGACGGUAUCUGACCAGAAAGCCACGGCUAACUACGUGCCAGCAGCCGC
RNAcentral lists this ribosomal RNA (393 nucleotides) under uncultured bacterium. Its description in RNAcentral is "bacterial SSU rRNA". It matches the Rfam family "Bacterial small subunit ribosomal RNA", at positions 142 to 518 of the family's 1533-position model. The record is from RNAcentral.